UUCAUCGCGAUGUGAAAUCAAAUAACAUCCUUCUUGACUCCAACUUCGAAGCUCAUGUCGCUGACUUUGGCCUUGCUAAAUUCUUGCAAGACUCAGGCACCUCGGAGUGCAUGUCUGCAAUUGCUGGUUCUUAUGGAUAUAUAGCUCCAGAAUAUGCCUACACGCUCAAGGUUGAUGAGAAGAGUGAUGUAUACAGCUUUGGUGUAGUUCUCUUAGAACUUGUUACUGGCAGAAAACCAGUAGGGGAAUUUGGAGAUGGUGUGGAUAUAGUUCAAUGGGUUCGAAAAAUGACAGACUCGAACAAGGAAGGAGU
This 313-nucleotide unclassified non-coding RNA is filed under the name Hevea brasiliensis (rubber tree). The record is from RNAcentral. Lineage: Eukaryota; Viridiplantae; Streptophyta; Magnoliopsida; Malpighiales; Euphorbiaceae.